AUGUUGGUUCGCGGUGCUUGCAUAGCUUCCGUAGGCUUGAUCUCGGAUUCGGGUAGCUUGCAUAUGUCUGUUGCUGAUAUGGGGCAUUCGAGUAGCUGGGCUGGGUCUGAUAUGGAGCAUUUGAGUAGCCAGCCGGCGCACCGGGAGCAUGCACACCUUGUCCAUAUGAGUAGUUCAUUGGUGGUUCAAAGCCUGACAACGGAGAUGGUCCUGCCUGUAAAACAAUCCCAGAGAAGUCAGGGCAUUGCUGUUUAUCACUUAGGAUCAUCAUUUAUGGAAAGACACAUGGGCAGAACAAUUUCAGAAAGAAUAAUGACACCGUACCAUCUGGUUACUGACAUUGCCAUGGCUGGGAGUUGA
This 360-nucleotide ribosomal RNA is filed under the name Triticum aestivum (bread wheat). Its description in RNAcentral is "partial small subunit ribosomal RNA". The record is from RNAcentral. Lineage: Eukaryota; Viridiplantae; Streptophyta; Magnoliopsida; Poales; Poaceae.